AGCAGGUUAGUGAUGGGGGGGGGAGGUGACGGGACAGCCAGGGGCCCGGGAGGGGGUUAGUGAUGCGGGGGGAGGUGACGGGACAGCCAGGGGCCCGGGAGCGGGUCAGUGAUGGGGGGGGGAGGUGACGGGACAGCCAGGGGCCCGGGAGCGGGUUAGUGAUGGGGGGGGGAGGUGACGGGACAGCCAGGGGCCCGGGAGCGGGUUAGUGAUGGGGGGGGGAGGUGACGGGACAGCCAGGGGCCCAGGAGCGGGUUAGUGAUGGGGGGGGAAGGUGACGGGACACCCAGGGGCCCGGGAGCGGGUUAGUGAUG
Molecule: long non-coding RNA, 314 nt
Organism: Gopherus flavomarginatus (Mexican gopher tortoise)
Lineage: Eukaryota; Metazoa; Chordata; Testudines; Testudinidae
Exons: 4
Source: RefSeq, a predicted model, not a curated record